RNAcentral lists this ribosomal RNA (1324 nucleotides) under metagenome. RNAcentral's name for it is "bacterial LSU rRNA". It matches the Rfam family "Bacterial large subunit ribosomal RNA", at positions 1561 to 2925 of the family's 2925-position model. The record is from RNAcentral.
AGUGGAUGGGGAGCAACCUAGUUGUGCGUGUGUAAAGGUAGUGCCAAGAAAAGCGAUGAUCAUGUUGAAAAUCAAUUCCCGGUACCCGAAACCGACACAGGUGGGCAAGUAGAGAAUACUAAGGGGCGCGAGGUAACUCUCUCCAAGGAACUCGGCAAAAUGACCCCGUAACUUAGGGAGAAGGGGUGCCACCGAGAGGUGGUCGCAGUGAAGAGGCCCAGGCGACUGUUUAGCAAAAACAUAGGUCUCUGCAAACUCGAAAGAGGAGGUAUAGGGGCUGACGCCUGCCCAGUGCCGGAAGGUUAAAGAAGUUGGUCAGUCUUAGGAUGAAGCUAGCGACUGAAGCCGCGGUGAACGGCGGCCGUAACUAUAACGGUCCUAAGGUAGCGAAAUUCCUUGUCGGGUAAGUUCCGACCCGCACGAAAGGCGUAACGAUCUGGGCGCUGUCUCGGAGAGAGGCUCGGCGAAAUAGGAUUGUCUGUGAAGAUACGGACUACCUGCAUUUGGACAGAAAGACCCUAUGAAGCUUUACUAUAGCUUGGAAUUGUGUUCGGGCUUCCUGUGCGCAGGAUAGGUGGGAGGCGUAGAAGGUAUUCUUGUGGGGAUACUGGAGCCAACGGUGAGAUACCACUCUCAGGAGGCUAGAAUUCUAACUUAAUUAAGGACAGUUUCAGGUGGGUAGUUUGACUGGGGCGGUCGCCUCCAAAAAGGUAACGGAGGCGUACAAAGGUUCCCUCAGACUGGUUGGAAAUCAGUCGAAGAGUGCAAAGGCAGAAGGGAGCUUGACUGCGAGAAGUACAGUUCGAGCAGGGUGGAAACACGGUCUUAGUGAUCCGACGGUGCUGUGUGGAAGGGCCGUCGCUCAACGGAUAAAAGUUACUCUAGGAUAACAGGCUGAUCUCCCCCAAGAGUUCACAUCGACGGGGAGGUUUGGCACCUCGAUGUCGGCUCAUCGCAACCUGGGGCGGAAGUACGUCCCAAGGGUUGGGCUGUUCGCCCAUUAAAGCGGUACGUGAGCUGGGUUCAGAACGUCGUGAGACAGUUCGGUCCAUAUCCGAUGUAGGCGUGAGAAUAUUGAGAGGAGCCUUCCUUAGUACGAGAGGACCGGGAAGGACGCACCGCUGGUGUACCUGUUAUGAUGCCAAUUGUAAACGCAGGGUAGCCAAGUGCGGAGAGGAUAACCGCUGAAAGCAUCUAAGUGGGAAGCCCACCUCAAGAUGAGUAUUCUGGUGUAAGGUCACGGGAAGACGACCCGUAAAUAGGCACGAGGUGGAAGUGCAGAGAUGUAUGAAGCCGAAGUGUACUAAUAGACCGUCGGCUUGAC